UACGUAGGUGGCGAGCGUUGUCCGGAUUUACUGGGCGUAAAGAGCGCGCAGGCGGUCGUACAAGUCGCGUGUGAAAGCCCCCGGCUCAACUGGGGAAGGUCAUUCGAUACUGUUCGGCUCGAAGAUAGGAGAGGGAAGCGGAAUUUCAGGUGUAGUGGUGAAAUGCGUAGAUAUCUGAAGGAACACCAGUGGCGAAGGCGGCUUUCUGGCCUAUUCUUGACGCUGAGGCGCGAAAGCUAGGGGAGCGAACGGG
Molecule: ribosomal RNA, 253 nt
Filed under: uncultured bacterium
Lineage: Bacteria
Description: partial 16S ribosomal RNA
Rfam family: Bacterial small subunit ribosomal RNA
Source: RNAcentral